UCGUAACAAGGUCUCCGUUGGUGAACCAGCGGAGGGAUCAUUACUGAGUUUACGCUCUACAACCCUUUGUGAACAUACCUAUAACUGUUGCUUCGGCGGGUAGGGUCUCCGUGACCCUCCCGGCCUCCCGCCCCCGGGCGGGUCGGCGCCCGCCGGAGGAUAACCAAACUCUGAUUUAACGACGUUUCUUCUGAGUGGUACAAGCAAAUAAUCAAAACUUUUAACAACGGAUCUCUUGGUUCUGGCAUCGAUGAAGAACGCAGCGAAAUGCGAUAAGUAAUGUGAAUUGCAGAAUUCAGUGAAUCAUCGAAUCUUUGAACGCACAUUGCGCCCGCCAGCAUUCUGGCGGGCAUGCCUGUUCGAGCGUCAUUUCAACCCUCAAGCUCUGCUUGGUGUUGGGGCCCUACAGCUGAUGUAGGCCCUCAAAGGUAGUGGCGGACCCUCCCGGAGCCUCCUUUGCGUAGUAACUUUACGUCUCGCACUGGGAUCCGGAGGGACUCUUGCCGUAAAACCCCCAAUUUUCCAAAGGUGA
This 532-nucleotide ribosomal RNA is filed under the name fungal endophyte. RNAcentral describes it as "eukaryotic LSU rRNA". The stretch from base 216 to 369 matches the Rfam family "5.8S ribosomal RNA". The record is from RNAcentral. Lineage: Eukaryota; Fungi.